GACGAACGCUGGCGGCGUGCUUAACACAUGCAAGUCGAGCGGUAAGGCCCCUUCGGGGGUACACGAGCGGCGAACGGGUGAGUAACACGUGGGCAAUCUGCCCAUCACAUCGGGAUAACUCCGGGAAACCGAAGCUAAUACCGAAUACGACCACCUCCGGCAUCGGAUGGUGGUGGAAAGUUCCGGCGGUGAUGGAUGAGCUCGCGGCCUAUCAGCUUGUUGGUGGGGUAACGGCCCACCAAGGCUUCGACGGGUAGCCGGCCUGAGAGGGUGACCGGCCACACUGGGACUGAGACACGGCCCAGACUCCUACGGGAGGCAGCAGUGGGGAAUAUUGGACAAUGGGCGAAAGCCUGAUCCAGCAACGCCGCGUGAGGGAUGACGGCCUUCGGGUUGUAAACCUCUUUCAGCAGGGACGAAGCGCAAGUGACGGUACCUGCAGAAGAAGCACCGGCCAACUACGUG
RNAcentral lists this ribosomal RNA (465 nucleotides) under uncultured bacterium. RNAcentral's name for it is "partial 16S ribosomal RNA". It matches the Rfam family "Bacterial small subunit ribosomal RNA", at positions 28 to 507 of the family's 1533-position model. The record is from RNAcentral.